UACGAAGGGGGCUAGCGUUGUUCGGAAUUACUGGGCGUAAAGCGUGCGCAGGCGGCUUCUCAAGUCAGGGGUGAAAGCCCAGAGCUCAACUCUGGAAUUGCCUUUGAGACUGAGUGGCUUGAGUACGAGAGAGGUGAGUGGAAUUCCCAGUGUAGAGGUGAAAUUCGUAGAUAUUGGGAAGAGCACCGGUGGCGAAGGCGGCUCACUGGCUCGUAACUGACGCUCAUGCACGACAGCGUGGGGAUCAAACAGG
This 253-nucleotide ribosomal RNA is filed under the name uncultured bacterium. RNAcentral describes it as "partial 16S ribosomal RNA". It matches the Rfam family "Bacterial small subunit ribosomal RNA", at positions 524 to 776 of the family's 1533-position model. The record is from RNAcentral.